AGCGAACGCUGGCGGCGUGCCUAACACAUGCAAGUCGCACGAGAAAGGGGUCGCAAGACCCCCGGUACAGUGGCGAACGGGUGAGUAACACGUGGGUAACCUGCCCUUGGGUUCGGAAUAACCUGCCGAAAGGCGGGCUAAUACCGGAUAACGCCACGGGGUCCUCGGACCUCGUGGUUAAAGCUGACCUCUUCAUGAAAGUUGGCGCCUGGGGAGGGCCCGCGUCCCAUUAGCUAGUUGGUGAGGUAACGGCUCACCAAGGCUCCGAUGGGUAGCCGGCCUGAGAGGGCGACCGGCCACAGUGGAACUGAGACACGGUCCACACUCCUACGGGAGCAGCAGUGAGGAAUCUUGCGCAAUGGGCGAAAGCCUGACGCAGCGACGCCGCGUGGACGAUG
This 398-nucleotide ribosomal RNA is filed under the name uncultured bacterium. RNAcentral describes it as "bacterial SSU rRNA". It matches the Rfam family "Bacterial small subunit ribosomal RNA", at positions 28 to 410 of the family's 1533-position model. The record is from RNAcentral.